UACGUAGGGUGCUAGCGUUGUUCGGAAUCAUUGGGCGUAAAGCGCGUGUAGGCUGUUAGUUAAGUCGGGUGUGAAAUCCCUGGGCUCAACCGAGGAAGUGCAUCCGAAACUAACUGGCUAGAAGAUGGUAGAGGAAGGUGGAAUUCCUAGUGUAGAGGUGAAAUUCGUAGAUAUUAGGAGGAAUACCGGUGGCGAAGGCGGCCUUCUGGACCAUUCUUGACGCUGAGACGCGAAAGCGUGGGGAGCAAACAGG
This 253-nucleotide ribosomal RNA is filed under the name uncultured bacterium. RNAcentral describes it as "partial 16S ribosomal RNA". It matches the Rfam family "Bacterial small subunit ribosomal RNA", at positions 524 to 776 of the family's 1533-position model. The record is from RNAcentral.